UGGUGGAAUUCUGAACCGUGGGACCCCUGCAAGUGUCCCCCAGGGAGAGCACCACUUCCUCUACUGGGUGUGUGCUCAGAAAGCCUGCUACAUAAAAUGAUCAGCGCAAGCCGAUAUCUGAAGAAGGCAUCUGUACUUCUGAAGGUCAGACCCCAUGGACACCAGCAUCCUGAAGACAUGGCCCAGAGAUGUUCUCCAUCAGAAGCUCCUAAUUUUUGUGCCAUGGAGACCACUCAACCCAGCUGCCAGGCAGAUCCUGGAGUCCACUACCCAACGCCACCUCCUCCCGGAGCAUGGUGCAUCCCUGGAGCUUCAGCAGGAGCUGCGUUUAUGCAUCGCAGCCUCGGCCAGACCUUGCUCCCUAAAGAUGACCGAGCUCACCCCGAACAUGAACGUGAAGACCCUCUGCCUUCUGCCUAACAUCCUCCUCAUGUGCAGAAGACAGGACAUCUGGUAGACCACGCUUUUGUAAACAUUGACAUAUUUUAUGCUUUCAGCUUAAAAUGCUAUUACAGUUUCAGUUCCCUCUUUGCUCAGGCAUUUGGACACACUCAAGCAUGCAACCAGCGUGCCAGGGUUUGCACAUGGAGGUGUGCUGCUGCCGAAAUCUGUGUGAAGUACGUCUAUAUCUCUAAAUCUAUACUGACAUAUAACUAUGUGAGCACGC
This 667-nucleotide long non-coding RNA is filed under the name Chinchilla lanigera (long-tailed chinchilla). RNAcentral describes it as "lncRNA (ENSCLAG00000026116.1)". The record is from RNAcentral. Lineage: Eukaryota; Metazoa; Chordata; Mammalia; Rodentia; Chinchillidae.